GCACAAGCGGUGGAUGAUGUGGUUUAAUUCGAUGCAACGCGAAAAACCUUACCCACCUUUGACAUGGCAGGAAUCCUAAAGAGAUUUGGGAGUGCUCGAAAGAGAACCUGCACACAGGUGCUGCAUGGCUGUCGUCAGCUCGUGUCGUGAGAUGUUGGGUUAAGUCCCGCAACGAGCGCAACCCUUGCCAUUAGUUGCUACGAAAGGGCACUCUAAUGGGACUGCCGGUGACAAGCCGGAGGAAGGUGGGGAUGACGUCAAGUCCUCAUGGCCCUUAUAGGUGGGGCUACACACGUCAUACAAUGGCCGGUACAGAGGGUAGCCAACCCGCGAGGGGGAGCCAAUCCCACAAAGCCGGUCGUAGUCCGGAUCGCAGUCUGCAACUCGACUGCGUGAAGUCGGAAUCGCUAGUAAUCGCGGAUCAGCAUGUCGCGGUGAAUACGUUCCCGGGUCUU
This 455-nucleotide ribosomal RNA is filed under the name uncultured Allobrachymonas sp. RNAcentral describes it as "bacterial SSU rRNA". It matches the Rfam family "Bacterial small subunit ribosomal RNA", at positions 923 to 1382 of the family's 1533-position model. The record is from RNAcentral. Lineage: Bacteria; Pseudomonadati; Pseudomonadota; Betaproteobacteria; Burkholderiales; Comamonadaceae.